This 467-nucleotide ribosomal RNA is filed under the name uncultured bacterium. RNAcentral's name for it is "partial 16S ribosomal RNA". It matches the Rfam family "Bacterial small subunit ribosomal RNA", at positions 355 to 812 of the family's 1533-position model. The record is from RNAcentral.
UGGGGAAUAUUGCACAAUGGGCGCAAGCCUGAUGCAGCCAUGCCGCGUGUGUGAAGAAGGCCUUCGGGUUGUAAAGCACUUUCAGCGAGGAGGAAGGCAUUAAGGUUAAUAACCUUAGUGAUUGACGUUACUCGCAGAAGAAGCACCGGCUAACUCCGUGCCAGCAGCCGCGGUAAUACGGAGGGUGCAAGCGUUAAUCGGAAUUACUGGGCGUAAAGCGCACGCAGGCGGUUUGUUAAGUCAGAUGUGAAAUCCCCGAGCUUAACUUGGGAGCUGCAUUUGAAACUGGCAAGCUAGAGUCUUGUAGAGGGGGGUAGAAUUCCAGGUGUAGCGGUGAAAUGCGUAGAGAUCUGGAGGAAUACCGGUGGCGAAGGCGGCCCCCUGGACAAAGACUGACGCUCAGGUGCGAAAGCGUGGGGCAGCAAACAGGAUUAGAUACCCUGGUAGUCCAGCGCUGUAAACGGAUG